This 319-nucleotide unclassified non-coding RNA is filed under the name Agrocybe praecox. RNAcentral describes it as "partial internal transcribed spacer region". The stretch from base 1 to 46 matches the Rfam family "Eukaryotic small subunit ribosomal RNA", at positions 1786 to 1831 of the family's 1831-position model. The record is from RNAcentral. Lineage: Eukaryota; Fungi; Basidiomycota; Agaricomycetes; Agaricales; Agrocybaceae.
AAGUCGUAACAAGGUUUCCGUAGGUGAACCUGCGGAAGGAUCAUUAUUGAAUAAACUGGCGUGGUUGUAGCUGGCCCCCUCGGGGGCAUGUGCUCGCCCGUCAACUUUAUAUCUCCACCUGUGCACCUUUUGUAGACCUGGACGAUAACUUUUCCGAGGUAACUCGGUCGGGAGGACUGCUGGCUUUCACGAGUCGGCUUUCCUUGUAUUAUCCAGGGCUAUGUUAUUCACAUACCCCAAAGAAUGUAACAGAAUGUAUCAUUAUGGCCUCGUGCCUAUAAACUAUAUACAACUUUCAGCAACGGAUCUCUUGGCUCUC